GGGACAUAGUAUGUACUGGUCUUUGCAUUGUCAGUAUCCCUCUGACAAUCAUAUGACCAGGAACCUUUUGGACAUGAUGGUUAUGUGAAGAAUGUCUCUGUAGUCUAACAUCAUUACAUUACUUCCUACAUUGAUCCAUUGUCCAUGGAUUCACUAUUUAGGACGUAUAUUGUUUAUUGAGAUAGUCCUAAUUAGUACCUUUGCCUUUUGAUGUAUAAGAGUCAUCUAUGCACACAUUCAUUGUCCUAAAAGGUUUCUUUCAAAGAUUGACUUUCAGGGCAUAUUUCCAACAAGGGGGAGCGUUGCAGUCCUAUUAGAAUAGGAAUGUGAUUGUGUUAAUCCUAGUAUAUCUUGGAAUAUCUCUUAUAUUCCUAUUAAGAGUAGAUUACCUAUUAAAUGUUGUAAUCCUAAAGGGAAAGGUUUUUACUUAUCCUACUACUAUAAAUAAAGGCACAGUGGGGUGGAAUAGAACACAACCAUAAUUACACAUCUUUCUUCUUCUUCUCCAUUGCCGCACCUUUCUCUCUCUCUCUCUCUCUAAGGCCUCCAUAAUUGUUCAUUAAAUUAUGCCUACAACAAUAUGAAGUAUAAAGUUUCGUUGUGUUUUUCCAAAUUUCCCACACCUUUUUUGGAGGAAAACAUAUGAGCAGUUGAGCCUAAGAACCUUGCGGAUAAAGAGUUUGCAUCUUGCGAAGACGCUGGAACAUAUUAGGCAAAAUAUGCAAAGGCACUUGAUUUUAGUGAGAGAAUAAUUUGCAAGGAUUCAAUAGAUAUCUCAUAGAUAUUAGACAAAUUUUAUUUGAACCUAUUUAACAUUUUUCUACAUUCAACUUACUUUCUACAUUCAUAGUUAGUUUUAGGGUUAAUCUUAAUUUACUACCCUAAAAUUUCUUGGUUUUCAAAAUUUUAGACAUCAAGUUUUUUUUUGUCCAUCUGGUAUCUAAUGUCAUUAUUUUGGGACACUUUCAUGCAUCCGUUAAGUUUUCCAUCAGAACCUCCGUUAACUGACAACGUGGCGCCCACAUGA
RNAcentral lists this long non-coding RNA (1027 nucleotides) under Malus domestica (apple). RNAcentral's name for it is "long non-coding RNA (MDOM_LNC011230)". The record is from RNAcentral. Lineage: Eukaryota; Viridiplantae; Streptophyta; Magnoliopsida; Rosales; Rosaceae.